RNAcentral lists this transfer RNA (67 nucleotides) under Tetrastichus howardi. RNAcentral's name for it is "tRNA-Gln". Lineage: Eukaryota; Metazoa; Arthropoda; Insecta; Hymenoptera; Eulophidae. The record is from RNAcentral.
UAUAAAUUAGUGUAAACUUGCACUUAAAUUUUUGAAAUUUUAAGAAUAAUAUUUAUUAUAUUUAUAA